GACAGCUUUUAGGUUCUGCAAACUCUUUUAUUUUUUAUUUUUUAUUUUUUAUUUUUUAUUUUUUAUUUUUUAUUUUUUAUUUUUUAUUUUUUAUUUUUUAUUUUUUAUUUUUUAUUUUUUUAUCUCUUCAGACAUCUUUCUGCUUCGUUAAAAUUUACUUACUGUUUACCAGUUACAUUUUCCAGCACAUAUUAAGUAAAAAUAUCUGUACUGCACAGAUGUCCCCCUAUUGUGCGCCAGAUGAAUUACAUUUUUUUAAAAAUGUUUUUUCCCAAAGGCUUAUUUCACUGAGUGAGUCAUGGACAUUAAAAAAAAAAUUGGUAGAAAAAUGACUAAGAGCAUAUGACACUCUUCCAGAUGCUCUCUUUCUUCCCCCUUGACAUCUCAUUUCAACUUUCCUCCCCUGGAACAUGCCAUCCUACCUGAGUGUCUUUGUGAAGCUAAGGCUCACACCCCUGAAAGCGCAGGGAUCGCAGAGCCACAGAAACAGAGAAUUCAGGAUGCCAUCUGGUUCAUCUCCCUGACCCAAACUGCUUUACUUACAACACCUCUGUCAGAUGUUUUUUUUUUUUAUUCUGUUCUUAAAGAUACCAAGUAGUAGACACUUUACAGGUUCUUCUAUAUUAGCUCUAAUUAAUCCAUUGGUGUUUUCCUAUUCAAAAGUUACCAUCCCUUUUUGCAAAACAAAACUCUGUUUCCAGACAGACUUUGUCAGCGGGAGUGUGCGUGUAUAGCUGUAUAUUUUGUGCCGAGCUGAACUUCUACGACGGACGCCAGUGACUUGUGAUGACAGACAGACACAGUGUUUGUCAGCGACUUACAGACCUGUGGCUGUGGAGUGGUCAUGUAGGGAUAGUGGUGAUAAUAAGCAGACACGCAGAGCAGACGUGGAGAUGCUGCAGAGGAGGCAGUGGCCCUGGAGGCACGGAGGCUGCAGAAGGGAAGAAGCGGGAAAAAAAGAAGAGGAUAGAAAUGAAGAGUCCUGU
RNAcentral lists this long non-coding RNA (986 nucleotides) under Anser brachyrhynchus (Pink-footed goose). RNAcentral's name for it is "lncRNA (ENSABRG00000008790.1)". The record is from RNAcentral. Lineage: Eukaryota; Metazoa; Chordata; Aves; Anseriformes; Anatidae.